GAUGAACGCUGGCGGCGUGCCUAAUACAUGCAAGUCGAGCGAACGGACGAUAAUCUUGCUUCUCUGAUGUUAGCGGCGGACGUGUGUGUAACACGUGUAUAACCUACCUAUAAGUCUGGGAUAACUUCGGGAAACCGGUUCUAAUACCGUAUAAUAUUUUGAACCGCAUGCUUCCAUAGUUAUUGUCGUUCUUGCUGUCACUUAUAGCUGGUUCCGCGCUGCAUUAGCUAGUUGGUAAGGUAACGGCUUACCAAGGCAACGAUGCGUAGCCGACGUGAGAGGGUGAUCGGCCACACUGGAAGUGAGACACGGACCAGAGUACUACGGGAGGCAGCAGUAGGGAAUGGGCGGCAAUGGGGGAAAGGAUGACGGAGCAACGCGGCGGGAGUGAUGAAGGACUGCGGAUCGUAAAACUGUGUUAUUAGGGAAGAAAAAAAGUGUAAGUAAGAGUGAACAGAUUGACGGUAACGAAUAAGAAAGCAACGGCUAACUACGUG
This 497-nucleotide ribosomal RNA is filed under the name uncultured bacterium. Its description in RNAcentral is "partial 16S ribosomal RNA". It matches the Rfam family "Bacterial small subunit ribosomal RNA", at positions 28 to 507 of the family's 1533-position model. The record is from RNAcentral.